UCUAAUAUGGCAGAUUAGUGCAAUGAAUUUAAGCUUCAUGUAUAAAAAAAUUUUUUUUGUUAGAA
RNAcentral lists this transfer RNA (65 nucleotides) under Babras sonorivox. RNAcentral describes it as "tRNA-Leu". Lineage: Eukaryota; Metazoa; Arthropoda; Insecta; Hemiptera; Cicadidae. The record is from RNAcentral.